This 253-nucleotide ribosomal RNA is filed under the name uncultured bacterium. Its description in RNAcentral is "partial 16S ribosomal RNA". It matches the Rfam family "Bacterial small subunit ribosomal RNA", at positions 524 to 776 of the family's 1533-position model. The record is from RNAcentral.
UACGGAGGGUGCAAGCGUUAUCCGGAUUUACUGGGUUUAAAGGGUGCGUAGGUGGGUUGGUAAGUCAGUGGUGAAAUCUCCGAGCUUAACUUGGAAACUGCCAUUGAUACUAUCAGUCUUGAAUAUUGUGGAGGUUAGCGGAAUAUGUCAUGUAGCGGUGAAAUGCUUAGAUAUGACAUAGAACACCAAUUGCGAAGGCAGCUGGCUACGCAUAUAUUGACACUGAGGCACGAAAGCGUGGGGAUCAAACAGG